GAGUCGAUCCUAAGCCAGCUGUGAAAGCAGUGACAUCCCGACAAAGGGGCGUUUCGUACGCGUGCUGCACUUGCACCCCCUAGACGAUGAUGAUUAAUCUCUCUCGGUGUUUGAGGACUGGUUACGCUAAGAAAGCGUUAAAAGGCAAGGCAAAACACACCGUCAAAAGAGAGUGAGAGGGUGAGCGCGAGUGCACAUUAACGUGCGGGAUGCUUCCUGCGUAGGUUCCAUGUCAGGCGAAAGGGAAUGGGGACUUUGUUCCUUGACCGGUCCCGGCACCCUCGAUUGGCUUCGCCAGUCAAUGGUCCAUGCAAAUGGAACCAGGCCACAGCCGCCGGCAGUCGCC
RNAcentral lists this ribosomal RNA (346 nucleotides) under Niphargus kochianus. Its description in RNAcentral is "partial large subunit ribosomal RNA". The record is from RNAcentral. Lineage: Eukaryota; Metazoa; Arthropoda; Malacostraca; Amphipoda; Niphargidae.